This 260-nucleotide unclassified non-coding RNA is filed under the name uncultured fungus. Its description in RNAcentral is "partial contains small subunit ribosomal RNA, internal transcribed spacer 1, and 5.8S ribosomal RNA". The stretch from base 1 to 73 matches the Rfam family "Eukaryotic small subunit ribosomal RNA", at positions 1759 to 1831 of the family's 1831-position model. The record is from RNAcentral. Lineage: Eukaryota; Fungi.
UCAAACUUGGUCAUUUAGAGGAAGUAAAAGUCGUAACAAGGUCUCCGUAGGUGAACCUGCGGAGGGAUCAUUACUGAGUGAGGGUACUCUAUACCCGAUCUCCAACCCUAUGUCGUACACUCUUUGUUGCCCCGGGGCUUCCUUUAAAGGACCUCAGAGGACCACACCAAUCUGUCUUUUUGCGUCAGAGUUACAUUAUUAAAUGAAUCAAAACUUUCAACAACGGAUCUCUUGGUUCUGGCAUCGAUGAAGAACGCAGC